GCGAGAGGGAGCAGCAGAGUGAAGGCGGGGUGGUGAGGAGGAGGCGGUGGAUGGAGGGGAAAGCAGGACGGAUAGUUUGAGGCUUAUGAGAAGAAAGACACGGCGAGGGAGGUGGAGAGAUCAAAGGGGAAGAAAAGACAGAAAGAGCUCCACCAUCUGUUACCCAGGUGAGGCAAAAAGACUCUCCUCCACACGUCUGCAUCCUGUCCAGCUGCUCUCUUUAGGGGUCACCACAGUGGACCAUCUGCCUCCAUUUGACCUCGUCUCCUUGUCCUCCUCUGCCACGCCAAUGCUCUGCCUGUCCUCCUUCACUACAUCCAUCAAUCUUCUCUGUGGUCAUCCUCCUUCGUUUUCCUCCUGCCUGGGAGC
This is a long non-coding RNA of Astatotilapia calliptera (eastern happy), 369 nucleotides long. Lineage: Eukaryota; Metazoa; Chordata; Actinopteri; Cichliformes; Cichlidae. The record is from Ensembl.